AUCUUUAACAGGCUGGAUUUCAUGACGAUAUAUGAUCUACUGAAACGUGAAUGUUGCUGGUUGAAAACUUAACCCAAUACCCCGCCGAGAUGACUUGAAAUAUAGUCAGCUGUGGCAAUUUUUGUUCGUCUCUAAGGAGA
This is a small nuclear RNA of Anoplopoma fimbria (sablefish), 140 nucleotides long. RefSeq annotates it as U4 spliceosomal RNA. The record is from RefSeq and is a predicted model, not a curated record. The transcript has a single exon. NCBI's taxonomy places the organism in Eukaryota, Metazoa, Chordata, Actinopteri, Perciformes, Anoplopomatidae.